UACGUAGGGGGCAAGCGUUGUCCGGAAUCAUUGGGCGUAAAGCGCGUGUAGGCGGCUGGGUAAGUCCGCUCUGAGAGCCCGGGGCUCAACCCCGGGAGGCGGGUGGAUACUGCUCAGCUCGAGUCCGGAAGAGGAGUGUGGAAUUCCUGGUGUAGCGGUGAAAUGCGCAGAUAUCAGGAGGAACACCAAUGGCGAAGGCAGCACUCUGGGACGGUACUGACGCUGAGACGCGAAAGCGUGGGGAGCAAACAGG
This 253-nucleotide ribosomal RNA is filed under the name uncultured bacterium. RNAcentral's name for it is "partial 16S ribosomal RNA". It matches the Rfam family "Bacterial small subunit ribosomal RNA", at positions 524 to 776 of the family's 1533-position model. The record is from RNAcentral.